RNAcentral lists this ribosomal RNA (468 nucleotides) under uncultured bacterium. RNAcentral's name for it is "partial 16S ribosomal RNA". It matches the Rfam family "Bacterial small subunit ribosomal RNA", at positions 28 to 507 of the family's 1533-position model. The record is from RNAcentral.
GACGAACGCUGGCGGCGUGCUUAACACAUGCAAGUCGAACGGAAAGGCCCUGCUUUUGUUGGGUUCUCGAGUGGCGAACGGGUGAGUAACACGUGAGUAUCCUGCCCUUGUCUUUCGGAUAACUUCACGAAACUGGGGCUAAUAUCGCAUAUGAGCUCCUGAUCCAUGGUGUGGGUUGGAAAGUUUCGGCGGUUUGGGAUGUACUCGCGGCUUAUCAGCUUGUUGGUGGGGUAGUGGCUUACCAAGGCUUUGACGGGUAGCCGGCCUGAGAGGGUGAACGGCCACAAUGGGACUGAGAUACGGACCAGACUCCUACGGGAGGCAGCAGUGGGGAAUAUUGCACAAUGGGCGGAAGCGUGAUGCAGAAACGCCGCGUGCGGGAUGACGGCCUUCGGGUUGUAAACCGCUUUCGCCUGUGACGAAGCGUGAGUGACGGUAAUGGGUAAAGAAGCACCGGCUAACUACGUG